UAUAUUUAUAUGUUUGUAUGUGUGUGUGUCUGUCUCUGUGUGUGCUGUGUGUGUAUAUAUAUACACACGCGUGUUUCUACUAACACUUUGAACAAGUGUAGAGGGAGAAAAUAAUUUCUUAGUUGUCUUUCUACGUCUUCGUGUGCGAAAGGAUUCUCUCUACUUGACUUAUGGAUAUUUGUUUUUUUUAUGUGUUAUCGAAGAUAAAAAGAAACCAAAAAAAAAAAAAAAAAAAAAAAAA
Long non-coding RNA from Polistes canadensis, 241 nucleotides. RefSeq lists it as uncharacterized. The record is from RefSeq and is a predicted model, not a curated record. The transcript has 2 exons. Lineage: Eukaryota; Metazoa; Arthropoda; Insecta; Hymenoptera; Vespidae.